Molecule: ribosomal RNA, 440 nt
Filed under: uncultured bacterium
Lineage: Bacteria
Description: partial 16S ribosomal RNA
Rfam family: Bacterial small subunit ribosomal RNA
Source: RNAcentral
CCUACGGGAGGCAGCAGUGGGGGAUAUUGCACAAUGGGGGAAACCCUGAUGCAGCGACGCCGCGUGAGUGAAGAAGUAUUUCGGUAUGUACAGCUCUAUCAGCAGGGAAGAAAAUGACAGUACCUGACCAAGAAGCCCCGGCUAACUACGUGCCAGCAGCCGCGGUAAUACGUAGGGGGCAAGCGUUAUCCGGAUUUACUGGGUGUAAAGGGAGCGUAGACGGUUAUGUAAGUCUGGAGUGAAAGCCCGGGGCCCAACCCCGGGACUGCUUUGGAAACUGUGUAACUGGAGUACAGGAGGGGCAGGCGGAAUUCCUGGUGUAGCGGUGAAAUGCGUAGAUAUCACGAAGAACUCCGAUUGCGAAGGCAGCCUGCUGGACUGUAACUGACGCUGAUGCUCGAAAGUGUGGGUAUCAAACAGGAUUAGAUACCCGUGUAGUC